CGAGGCGAAGCAACGUGCUGAGCCGUAGCGAAAGCGAGUCUGAAUAGGGCGUCCAGUCACGGGCCGUACACGCGAAGCGGGAUGAUCUAGCCUGGGCCAGGAUGAAACGCGGGUAACACCGCGUGGAGGUCCGAACCGGUGUUUGUUGAAAAAAGCUCGGAUGAGCUCAGGCUAGGGGUGAAAGGCUAAUCAAAUUCCGUUAUAGCUCGUUCUCCUCGAAAUGCCUUUAGGGGCAGCCUCGGACGAAUACCUGCGGUGGUAAAGCUCUGGAUGGACUAGGGGCCUUACCCGGUUACUGAAUCCAACCAAACUCUGAAUGCCGCAGCGUACUAUCCGGGAGUGAGACGGCGGGGGAUAAGCUUCGUCGUCAAAAGGGAAAGAACCCAGAGCGCCAGCUAAGGUCCCCUAAAAUCAGUGCUCAGUGGAAAACGAUGUGGAGACGCUCCGACAGCCAGGAGGUUGGCUUAGAAGCAGCCAUCCUUUAAAGAAAGCGUAAUAGCUCACUGGUCAAGUGGCUCCGCGCGGACAAUACAACGGGGC
RNAcentral lists this ribosomal RNA (540 nucleotides) under uncultured bacterium. RNAcentral describes it as "bacterial LSU rRNA". It matches the Rfam family "Bacterial large subunit ribosomal RNA", at positions 641 to 1181 of the family's 2925-position model. The record is from RNAcentral.